Non-coding RNA from Ictidomys tridecemlineatus (thirteen-lined ground squirrel), 601 nucleotides. The record is from RefSeq and is a predicted model, not a curated record. NCBI's taxonomy places the organism in Eukaryota, Metazoa, Chordata, Mammalia, Rodentia, Sciuridae.
GUGCAAGUGUCUGUUGGGGUUGGUUCAUUGCCCACCAGGUGGCGUCUGCAUGGAUCUGAAUGAGGUCUUCCCCCUUAGAACUUUGUGCUGACCAAUAAUGAUGCUGUGUUCAUUCCCAGGGGAACCCAAGUCUGUGAAGGAAAUCAGAUGAGCCCUUGAGAGGGAGGGUGACUUUAAAGACACCUCUGGAUCUCAGGCAGCUGACCUUGAUGCCUGGACAGAAGAGGCCUUUCCUGCCCAACCACCAACUGAGAUUGAAGAUGCUGCAGUAGGAACUGGUAUGCUAGAAGACAAGGAUGACAAGGAUAACAAAAAACAAAGACGGAUGACAGCAUGUCAUCCUGAAGAGACAACACGAUGGUGACGUCAAUCCCAUGGCCACGUUAUCCUGCUGCCCUCCAGCUGCUCCAACUCUAAGAAGUUUCUUCAAAUAUUACAUCUUGACAAUGCCAAUGCAAAGAGGAAGAGAAGCAAUAGCAUUCUGGGCCCACAAGGGGUGCAUUGGAGACAGGCGAGUGGCAAGUGGCUGCUGGCAUUCUAAGGAUGUAGGCAUACAUACCUUUCAAAGUCAUAAAUGUGAAAGAAAAAGAUGUCUGAUGGA